Molecule: long non-coding RNA, 224 nt
Filed under: Phaseolus vulgaris (common bean)
Lineage: Eukaryota; Viridiplantae; Streptophyta; Magnoliopsida; Fabales; Fabaceae
Description: long non-coding RNA (PVUL_LNC003215)
Source: RNAcentral
UCCUCCUCCUCCCACAAAAACAAAAACUGCAACAACUUCAAACCCCAUCCAAAGGGUAAUGGCAGAAGCUGAGGAUUAUGGGUUCGCCCCAGAUGAAAUGCUAGUGAAUGAGAACCUUGGCUACCCUAAAGCCUUCGCAAAACUCUGCCGUGACAGGGGUUUCAGUACCUACAGCCAUGGCCCUCCCUUUACCUUCAUCCCUUAUGCUUUGCAAGAACAAGAGG